UACGUAGGGUGCAGGCGUUAAUCGGAAUCACUGGGCGUAAAGCGUGCGCAGGCGGUUUGCUAAGACAGGUGUGAAAUCCCCGGGCUUAACCUGGGAACUGCGCUUGUAACUGGCAAGCUUGAGUGUGGCAGAGGGGGGUGGAAUUCCACGUGUAGCAGUGAAAUGCGUAGAGAUGUGGAGGAACACCGAUGGCGAAGGCAGCCCCCUGGGCUAACACUGACGCUCAUGCACGAAAGCGUGGGGAGCAAACAGG
RNAcentral lists this ribosomal RNA (253 nucleotides) under uncultured bacterium. RNAcentral describes it as "partial 16S ribosomal RNA". It matches the Rfam family "Bacterial small subunit ribosomal RNA", at positions 524 to 776 of the family's 1533-position model. The record is from RNAcentral.